AUGGAGGCGUUCAGGAAGCAGGCGAACAAGUUCAAGGAGCAGGUCGCCAAGCAGCAGCAGGCUGUGAUAAAACAAUUCAGCACUACUGGUUACGAGCGUUCAGAUUCUGUUGUCAUUGAUGAAGUUGAAUUACAGCAACAUCAAAGGCUUGAGAAAUUGUACAGUUCUACUCGUUCUGGAAGGGAUUUCCAAAAGGACAUAGUUCGAGCAGCUGAAGGCUUGGUGUCUAUUGGAAGCAAGCAUAUUGAAGUGGGAACAAAAUUUUCUGAGGAUUGCUAUAGAUAUGGAGGUGAAAAUAAUGCUGAUGGUGAAGCUCUUACAAAAGCCGCAUCACUGUAUGGAGGUGCUUUGAGAAAUGUUGAAAAAGAGUAUGAAGAUUUCAAUAGAACUUUAUGUUCUCAGAUCAUAGAUCCAUUGAAGGCGAUGGCUGUGUGCGCUCCCCUGGAAGAAGCUCGUGGUUUUGCACAACGUUAUAGCCGGAUGAGACAUGAAGCUGAGAUACUCUCUGCUGAAAUUGCUAGAAGGAAGGCACGGGUAAGAGAAUCUCCAGUUGCUGAGCACACUACAAAACUUGAGCAAUCUGAAGGUAAGAUGAUAGAGCACAAAGCAAGCAUGGCUGUGUUGGGAAAAGAGGCUGUUGCUGCACUUGGUGCUGUUGAAUCUCAGCAAAAGAGGGUAACUCUUCAGCGCCUGGUUGGCAUGGUAGAAGCAGAGAAGUUGUUCUAUUUGAGGUUAGCUGCCAUACUUGAUGAUGUUGAAGCUGAGAUGUCAUCUGAGAAGCAAAAGAGAGAGUCUGCACCUCCUUCCCGUAAGCGUGCCGAGAUGGCCCAGUACUUCCUCGCCGAGGCAGUGCAUAACUUCAAUGGUACCACGGAGAAGGAACUGAGCUUAAUUGUUGGUGAUUAUGUUGUUGUUCGUCAGAUUGCUCCCAACGGUUGGGCGGAAGGGGAAUGCAGAGCGAAGGCAGGGUGGUUUCCGGCUGCCUAUGUCGAGAGGCGCGAGAAUAUCCCCCCGAAUAAAGUCUUCCCGCAGGCAUAG
This 1038-nucleotide ribosomal RNA is filed under the name Triticum aestivum (bread wheat). RNAcentral describes it as "partial small subunit ribosomal RNA". The record is from RNAcentral. Lineage: Eukaryota; Viridiplantae; Streptophyta; Magnoliopsida; Poales; Poaceae.